CCUACGGGAGGCAGCAGUGAGGAAUAUUGGUCAAUGGACGAGAGUCUGAACCAGCCAAGUAGCGUGAAGGAUGACUGCCCUAUGGGUUGUAAACUUCUUUUAUAUGGGAAUAAAACGUUCCACGUGUGGGAUUUUGUAUGUACCAUAUGAAUAAGGAUCGGCUAACUCCGUGCCAGCAGCCGCGGUAAUACGGAGGAUCCGAGCGUUAUCCGGUGUUAUUGGGUUUAAAGGGAGCGUAGGUGGAUUGUUAAGUCAGUUGUGAAAGUUUGCGGCUCAACCGUAAAAUUGCAGUUGAAACUGGCAGUCUUGAGUACAGCAGAGGUGGGCGGAAUUCGUGGUGUAGCGGUGAAAUGCUUAGAUAUCACGAAGAACUCCGAUUGCGAAGGCAGUUCACUGGACUGCAACUGACACUGAGGCUCGAAAGUGUGGGUAUCAAACAGGAUUAGAUACCCGAGUAGUC
RNAcentral lists this ribosomal RNA (460 nucleotides) under uncultured bacterium. RNAcentral's name for it is "partial 16S ribosomal RNA". It matches the Rfam family "Bacterial small subunit ribosomal RNA", at positions 338 to 795 of the family's 1533-position model. The record is from RNAcentral.